GACAGUUCUCAGAUGACACACCCUGAAUCAGGCUCCCUCCUCUCUGGUUCCGGGUGCAUAAUCAGAGAACCGCA
Molecule: non-coding RNA, 74 nt
Organism: Myotis davidii
Lineage: Eukaryota; Metazoa; Chordata; Mammalia; Chiroptera; Vespertilionidae
Source: Rfam